This 918-nucleotide ribosomal RNA is filed under the name uncultured archaeon. Its description in RNAcentral is "bacterial SSU rRNA". It matches the Rfam family "Archaeal small subunit ribosomal RNA", at positions 1 to 925 of the family's 1478-position model. The record is from RNAcentral.
AUUUUCCGGUUGAUCCUGCCGGACCCGACUGCUAUCAGAGUGGGACUAAGCCAUGCGAGUUAACGUAGCAAUACGUGGCAUACGGCUCAGUAACACGUGGUCAACAUACCCAGAGGACGUGGAUAACCUCGGGAAACUGAGGAUAAACCGCGAUAGACCAUAAUGUCUGGAAUGAUUUAUGGUUCAAAUCUACAUGGCCUCUGGAUUGGACUGCGGCCGAUCAGGCUGUUGGUGAGGUAAUGGCCCACCAAACCUGAAACCGGUACGGGCUCUGAGAGGAGAAGCCCGGAGAUGGGCACUGAGACAAGGGCCCAGGCCCUAUGAGGCGCAGCAGGCGCGAAAUCUUUGCAAUAGGCGAAAGCCUGACAAGGUUACUCUGAGUGAUCUCCGCUAAGGAAAUCUUUUGACACCUCUAAAAAUGGUGUAGAAUAAGGGGUGGGCAAGCCUGGUGUCAGCCGCCGCGGUAAUGCCAGCACCCCGAGUGGUCGGGACGAUUAUUGGGCCUAAAGCAUCCGUAGCCGGUUCCUUAAGUCCUCCGUUAAAUCCACCUGCUUAACAGAUGGGCUGCGGAGGAUACUAUAGAGCUAGGAGGCGGGAGAGGCAAGCGGUACUCAGUGGGUAGGGGUAAAAUCCGUUGAUCCAUUGAAGACCACCAGUGGCGAAGGCGGCUUGCCAGAACGCGCUCGACGGUGAGGGAUGAAAGCUGGGGGAGCAAACCGGAUUAGAUACCCGGGUAGUCCCAGCUGUAAACGAUGCAGACUCGGUGAUGAACAGGCUUCGUGCCUAUUCAGUGCCGCAGGGAAGCCGUUAAGUCUGCCGCCUGGGGAGUACGGUCGCAAGACUGAAACUUAAAGGAAUUGGCGGGGGAGCACCACAAGGGGUGAAGCCUGCGGUUCAAUUGGAUUCAACGCCGGAAAU